Long non-coding RNA from Calypte anna (Anna's hummingbird), 793 nucleotides. RefSeq lists it as uncharacterized. The transcript has 3 exons. The record is from RefSeq and is a predicted model, not a curated record. NCBI's taxonomy places the organism in Eukaryota, Metazoa, Chordata, Aves, Apodiformes, Trochilidae.
UGCCAGAACACUAAUCCUUCAGGGCAAAUCAUCUCAAUGCGACACUUCGACUAACAUGUUGCUGUGAACAGGACCUGGAGAUGAUAGCAAUGACAGAGAUGUCUGGAGUUCUGUUUUCUCAUCCUCUCUACUGACCACAGCACAACCUCAAAAUCAUUGGUGUGUUGGUGAGUUUGCAUCUUGGAGAGAGUUCUCAUUUGGUGGAAGCAUUAUGACUGGCAGGCUCAUUUUCUACCCACAAAAUGGAUUUGGAGUGGAUAAUGCCCUCCAUUCUCCUGGAUGGUAACAGCUGUUACUGAACUUUCUAUGCAAGUAUUUCCAGUUUGUUUCCCUCAUACCUUUGAAACUCCACCCUCACACGCAAAGCUUGUAGUCAUCUGAUGGGGAGACAAAGGAACCUUGCUUACAUGGGAGCACUGGAAGCUUUCCACAACAGCUGGCCAGACCUAGGUAUUUACAUCCAGUAAAGGGGACUACAAUCACUAGCAGAUAGUUCCUACAUAGCAGAAGUCUCUGGAACCAAGUGCUAGCAUGGUGUUAAUGAUGCACGUAUGUACAGAUUACUGCUCAAAAAAUACCAAGUUAUUCUUAAAUGAAAUCUCAGCAUUCAGCUGAAGUCUUUUUACAAUUUGUUCUCUCAAGCUCUGCUUUAUAACUGGGAGUUUAAAAUACUAUGGCAAGAAAAUGGUAUUAAAUCACAUUUAGGGAAAUUCAUAAAAGUCAGUGAGAUUCAUCCUAGGAAUUUGAAUUCAUCCUCAAAAUUCUAAUAACAAAGAUUCUUCAGAAGUCUACC